UGCUUUACACAUGCAAGUCGAACGGCAGCACGGGGGGGUAACUCUCUGGUGGCGAGUGGCGAACGGGUGAGUAAUACAUCGGAACGUGUCCUGUAGUGGGGGAUAACCCACCGAAAGGUGAGCUAAUACCGCAUACGAUCUCAGGAUGAAAGCGGGGGACCUUCGGGCCUCGCGCUAGAGGAGCGGCCGAUGUCCGAUUAGCUAGUUGGUGAGGUAAAGGCUCACCAAGGCGACGAUCGGUAGCUGGUCUGAGAGGAUGAUCAGCCACACUGGGACUGAGACACGGCCCAGACUCCUACGGGAGGCAGCAGUGGGGAAUUUUGGACAAUGGGGGCAACCCUGAUCCAGCAAUGCCGCGUGAGUGAAGAAGGCCUUCGGGUUGUAAAGCUC
Molecule: ribosomal RNA, 390 nt
Filed under: uncultured organism
Description: bacterial SSU rRNA
Rfam family: Bacterial small subunit ribosomal RNA
Source: RNAcentral